AGGCCUCAGUGGACAUGGAGUGGAAUCCUGGUGUCGGAACUGCAAGCCCAGCCUUCCUCUGCUCUGAAGGACUCUGGAACCAGAACAUCAUGAGACAAAUCCUUAGGGAAGCAGAUGGAGAAAGGAAAAAUGGUAUUGGGAAUGGCUAGCCUGGAAUUCGCUGACACCAACUUUGGACUGAAACAUGGGCAUAGCAUGUGCACCACUAAUGGAUAAUCCAAGGUUCCCACAAAGCCUGGCCUGUAGAAGCCUUUCACUGAUCUUCCAUCACCUUAAGGAAUUUAUUAAAAUGUCAAUUUCAAAUAAAUUUUCCUUCAGGAAAGACAAAUUCAGACUUACUGGUUAGAGAAAAUUUCAGGCAUGAAAACUUGCAAGCAUAUUAUUAAUGAAGUUUAUUGCAUAUUAAUAUAAAACUGUCUGAUCUCAUUGUUUAUGUAAA
Long non-coding RNA from Passer domesticus (house sparrow), 439 nucleotides. RefSeq lists it as uncharacterized. Lineage: Eukaryota; Metazoa; Chordata; Aves; Passeriformes; Passeridae. The transcript has 3 exons. The record is from RefSeq and is a predicted model, not a curated record.